GAUCAUGGCUCAGGAUGAACGCUAGCGGCAGGCUUAACACAUGCAAGUCGAGGGGCAUCACGUCUUCGGAUGGUGGCGACCGGCGCACGGGUGCGUAACACGUAUACAACUUGCCCGUCAUAGGGGAAUAACCCGGAGAAAUUCGGACUAAUACCCCGUAAGUAUAGAGGGGGCAUCCUCUUUAUAUUAUAGAUUUAUUGAUGACGGAUAGGUAUGCGCAGCAUUAGGUAGUUGGUGAGGUAACGGCUCACCAAGCCGACGAUGCUUAGGGGAACUGAGAGGUUUAUCCCCCACACUGGUACUGAGACACGGACCAGACUCCUACGGGAGGCAGCAGUGAGGAAUAUUGGUCAAUGGACGAAAGUCUGAACCAGCCAUGCCGCGUGCAGGAUGACGGC
This 398-nucleotide ribosomal RNA is filed under the name Bacteroidetes bacterium M7. RNAcentral describes it as "bacterial SSU rRNA". It matches the Rfam family "Bacterial small subunit ribosomal RNA", at positions 15 to 415 of the family's 1533-position model. Lineage: Bacteria; Pseudomonadati; Bacteroidota. The record is from RNAcentral.